Molecule: unclassified non-coding RNA, 3896 nt
Filed under: Hevea brasiliensis (rubber tree)
Lineage: Eukaryota; Viridiplantae; Streptophyta; Magnoliopsida; Malpighiales; Euphorbiaceae
Source: RNAcentral
AGGGCAGCUAGUUAUUCCCUGUGACAACACAAUUUGCUUUACAUGUUAUAAUAAAGAUAUUACUAAUCACAAAUCAAAGGAUAAAAAUUAUCUUCCUUCAAAAUUAUGAAUGAAACAAAACAUGAAAGGUUUAUGAAUGAAACAAAACAAGAAAGAUACAAUUGCAAGCUCGCUGUGACAAAUAGGAUUCUGCACUAGACCAUUUAUGAGAUCCAAGCAAUGAGAGAAGGAUCACAUAAAUACUUAGGAUUGGUUUAGAUCAAAAAGCCUUAAAAAUUUCAAUGAUGUAAAAAUCAUCAUCAGAUACUGACUUUGUUAUUUGUUCAGUUUCAAAAUGUGCCUUACCAGGAAAACCCUUUGUCCAACCAUUGUUCCUGUAAAAGCAUCUCAUGCAUUUAGUUUAAGAAAUGCCUUUAUGACGCCCAUCAUUUCUCCUCCAGGAAACCGUCCAAGACAUCCCCUUGCUGCUGCUAUCUCGCUAAAUUCACAAACUGAAUCACCACUGAAAGAUUUAAGCUGUUUGCUAAUUCUAUCCUUUUCCAUCUUAUCUUCAUCUAGGUCUUCACCGGCCUUAUUGAUUGGAAGAGGAAAUGGUUGAAGGGAAGUUGCCACAACAAUGGGCUCUCCACCCAUGGCACCCACAAAGUCUUUUAACCGGCAGAUGGCAAAUGGAACUGGUUCGAAACUAUGGUCUCCAUAUUCAACAGGAGUAGAGUGAUCUCCAGUGACACAAAGGAAAUACUGGAACUUUUCAGUUGAUUCUGCCUGCCAAAGAAGUUUGGUCAGCUGGCCUAAAGCUUGAUCUACUGCUUCCAAUGCCUUGACUUUUAAAAGGCUCGCCUUAUCAUGACCUGCAUCAUCUAUUGCCUGAAUACAAAAACAAGGAAAUUCAUUGUCAUACUGACAUUGAGAACUUCAAACAACCCAAAAAGGGUGAAAGGAAGGAGAACAAAAUAACCAAGAAAAAAAAAAUGGAGAAUCCAAAAAUUCAAAUGAUUUUGAGCCAACAAAUUAGCCUCGUAAAAGAAUAUAGUAAGAUGUGUCAAACAACAUGCUGGACAGUCAACUCUCAUGGUCAAAUCUUAAUCAUUGAUGAUACAAGAAGAAAAAUAGAGAACUUAAAAGUCAUUCAGGUGACCUUCAAUGCAAGCUGGUUCCCCUAGUAUUUUUGUGUUUGCUGUAAUAAUUAUGGAAAAUUUUGUGAAAAAGAAAACAAAGAUGAAAAGGGUAAAAUAAAUAAGUUAAAAGUCAUUUUUGUAUAGAAGGCCACAUUGUGGAGUGAUGCUUGUGGUUGUGGAAAUACUAGAAACAUAAAUGUCUAUCAAUGCUCAGAUAUUAACACCUUAAUGUGGAAAAACCCAAAGUCGUAACCAUCUGGUUUGCCAGGUUUGUGCUCAUCCUCUCCAGGCACAAAAACACUGGGAGAAGACUGCAAUGGAGCAGAGAGUGCCUUAGCUAUGGCAGUCACUUUUGAAGUCAAAAGAGUUCGAUAAUCUCCAGUUGCCCCUGGAGCUUCUAGAAUGUCAAUAUCAAGUGAUAGGCCUAAACCAGCUAUGAUUUUAGUAGGAGCUACCAUGCAUGGCCAUAACCCAUGUUUCUUUUCAAAUGAUGGAACCUGUACAAUAAUGAGAAAAUCUUUCAAUUAUGCAAAUCACUUAAAUUCUCAAGCAUAUAAAUCUGUACAAAUUAGCUUGUCCCAUACUGUGCAACACUUACAUCAUGAAUCCCAUGUGUUUCCCCAGAGUCCCUCAAAUAAUGAUAUACAAGGACUAUCACAAUAUAUAGCAAAUUUGCAUCCUCAAUUAUUUGCAUAUCAGAAUUAACAAAUUUGAGCAAUAAACAAUAGCCUAGUGCAUCUCACUGCCAAGAUUGUUCCUUAAUGUUCCCAGCUACUAGUUAUCAAUUACCUUAAAGUUUUGUCAAAAUGCAAAAUUGUAACACAAGCAGUCAUAGUUCAAACAUAAAAGACAAACAACCCAAGCCCAGAAAUUCAUGAUUACAUUUUUCAUUUUGGCUUCAUUAUCAUGCACCUUUUUUUUAUAAUAAUUAUCAUGGACUUUAAAAGUUCUAAUAAUGGAUCACAAAUCAAGAGUCAUUAUAGGCCAAGAAAAUAAAUUAGGAUUGGUGGUUGAUACUCUCCCCCCCACAAAAGAAGGAGAAAGUACAACAACUAAUAAUUCAAAAAUAGUUUUGAGAGCCAGAUAAGAAAUAUUCCAAGAAGUAAAAGUUUAAAAUUUUCUUUCCACAAGCAUACCCAUUACUUUCCCAGGAAACAUAAAACAAUAAGAUGUUGAUGGAUAAGAAAAAACACACUUCAAUUCGAAUACCACAUCCUCGUAAAAGGACAACAUUGGCCAUUUUCUUCCCUUCUGCCGAUCGUUUUGCAUUCAACGGGUGAGAGACCAGAAUUCGUGACAUCUCCCUGGACAAUUCAUUGACAACUGCAGCUGUAUGAAUUGCUUCAUCAGUAUCGUCUAAGGCUUCAGCUUGCAGAAGUAAGCGGUUGUCCUUCAAUGGGUCCGUUCCUGAUAUAUUACCACUCAAUCUUGGUCCUUUCACGACCACUCCACAUCUAUGCUCUGUUGCAUACCUGUAGGGAGUGAUUUCUCAUUAUUUUUUCUCUCUUAUGUUUGAAAUAAGAAGCCUUGAACUCCAAUCAAAGGACCUCAAUAUUUCCUAUUUUGAUUUCAAAUAGUUUACACAGUUUUUCACACUUGAAACCAUAGAGAUAGAGAAAAAGAGACACUCUGGCCUUACUUCUCAAGCUUACUGAGUCAGGCAAUUAUUUUUGUCCAUUCUUUUUUCAUUUUCCAAUUAUUUUGGGCUAUCAAGUUGUGAACCAUGACCCACCACCCAUUGCGUUAUAUGCAACCAUGAACCCUAGCUCAUCCUGUCAAUUUGGGAAGGAUACCACAAAGAUGGGAACUUAAAAGUUCAAAAGAAAUAUUAAACAAAAGAGGCAUGCAUAUUCCUAGAUCAAUCAAGAAGCAAGAAUAGCACAAUAAAAUAUCUGCAGACCUGACUCUGACUUCAUAUUCAGGGUAAGAUGGCAACUUCAUUCUAUCCAAAGCAGCACAGAGAAUAGGCCCUUCUUCUUCAAAGUGCCUGUCAGCUCUUCUACGGGUGACUAUUCCAGUUUUCUCAUCAAAUGUUGCAAAAUUUGACUUGAAUGCAAUAUCACCAGGUGACAUGGCCAAUCCAGCACCCAUUGACUCAAAUGCACCUCGACCCUUAUAAUAUACUCGUGGGUCAUAACCCAAUAAUGAAAGGUGAGCAGUAUCACUUCCACAAGCCAAACCUACUUCAACAGGGUCCAUAAGGCCAUUAACUCCUGCAGAUGCAAUAGCAUCCAGGUUUGGAACAUUGGCUGUUUGCAGAGGGGUCUUGUAUCCAAACCUUGGCAAGGAUACAUCACCCAAACCAUCAAUCAGCACAAAUGCCACUCUCCUCCUUGGUUGUUUGGGACUUCCCAUGCUUCUAUACCUUUGUUAUCCAAAAUGAAAAAGAAAUGGAAGUGUUAAGAAUAGGCUAGCUCACAGCAAUGAUUUUACCAGCGGACUCAAACGAAAAACCCACAAUAAGCCAAGGAAAAAAGAAAAGAAAUUAAAUGCUGUAACAAAAUAGUUCUUUUGAUAAUCAAGAGAUUUUCAAUUCACGGUUCUUGAAUUAGACAAUUAAAGGUAGAAAUGGCACAAAAUCGAUGAUUAAACUGCAGAAAUUGAAAUUAGAAACUCAAGGCAGCAACUUUGAUGAGUAAUUGAGUAAACAUAAAUAGGGGUGAACACACAGCAGUAUGCCAAUUAUCUUUCAAAAAUAAAUAAAUAAAUAAAUAAAUAAAUUAUCUUUUUGCUGUAAUAUCAUUAGAAUGAUAACUAAUUUUAUUUUUGAGAUUAUGU